GCGAACGGACGAGAAGCUUGCUUCUCUGAUGUUAGCGGCGGACGGGUGAGUAACACGUGGAUAACCUACCUAUAAGACUGGGAUAACUUCGGGAAACCGGAGCUAAUACCGGAUAAUAUUUUGAACCGCAUGGUUCAAAAGUGAAAGACGGUCUUGCUGUCACUUAUAGAUGGAUCCGCGCUGCAUUAGCUAGUUGGUAAGGUAACGGCUUACCAAGGCAACGAUGCAUAGCCGACCUGAGAGGGUGAUCGGCCACACUGGAACUGAGACACGGUCCAGACUCCUACGGGAGGCAGCAGUAGGGAAUCUUCCGCAAUGGGCGAAAGCCUGACGGAGCAACGCCGCGUGAGUGAUGAAGGUCUUCGGAUCGUAAAACUCUGUUAUUAGGGAAGAACAUAUGUGUAAGUAACUGUGCACACCUUGACGGUACCUAAUCAGAAAGCCACGGCUAACUACGUGCCAGCAGCCGCGGUAAUACGUAGGUGGCAAGCGUUAUCCGGAAUUAUUGGGCGUAAAGCGCGCGUAGGCGGUUUUUUAAGUCUGAUGUGAAAGCCCACGGCUCAACCGUGGAGGGUCAUUGGAAACUGGAAAACUUGAGUGCAGAAGAGGAAAGUGGAAUUCCAUGUGUAGCGGUGAAAUGCGCAGAGAUAUGGAGGAACACCAGUGGCGAAGGCGACUUUCUGGUCUGUAACUGACGCUGAUGUGCGAAAGCGUGGGGAUCAAACAGGA
This 729-nucleotide ribosomal RNA is filed under the name uncultured Staphylococcus sp. RNAcentral's name for it is "bacterial SSU rRNA". It matches the Rfam family "Bacterial small subunit ribosomal RNA", at positions 66 to 777 of the family's 1533-position model. Lineage: Bacteria; Bacillati; Bacillota; Bacilli; Caryophanales; Staphylococcaceae. The record is from RNAcentral.